UGCAAGUCGAGCGCGCCCUUCGGGGUGAGCGGCGGACGGGUUAGUAACGCGUGGGAACAUACCCUUUUCUACGGAAUAGCCUCUGGAAACGGAGAGUAAUACCGUAUGAGCCCUUCGGGGGAAAGAUUUAUCGGGAAAGGAUUGGCCCGCGUUAGAUUAGGUAGUUGGUGGGGUAAUGGCCUACCAAGCCUACGAUCUAUAGCUGGUUUUAGAGGAUGAUCAGCAACACUGGGACUGAGACACGGCCCAGACUCCUACGGGAGGCAGCAGUGGGGAAUCUUGGACAAUGGGCGCAAGCCUGAUCCAGCCAUGCCGCGUGAGUGAUGAAGGCCUUAGGGUCGUAAAGCUCUUUCGCCUGUGAAGAUAAUGACGGUAGCAGGUAAAGAAACCCCGGCUAACUCCGUGCCAGCAGCCGCGGUAAUACGGAGGGGGUUAGCGUUGUUCGGAAUUACUGGGCGUAAAGCGCACGUAGGCGGACUGGAAAGUUGGGGGUGAAAUCCCAGGGCUCAACCCUGGAACUGCCUCCAAAACUAUCAGUCUAGAGUUCGAGAGAGGUGAGUGGAAUUCCGAGUGUAGAGGUGAAAUUCGUAGAUAUUCGGAGGAACACCAGUGGCGAAGGCGGCUCACUGGCUCGAUACUGACGCUGAGGUGCGAAAGUGUGGGGAGCAAACAGGAUUAGAUACCCUGGUAGUCCACACCGUAAACGAUGAAUGCCAGUCGUCGGGUAGCAUGCUAUUCGGUGA
RNAcentral lists this ribosomal RNA (743 nucleotides) under Ruegeria sp. AU600. RNAcentral describes it as "bacterial SSU rRNA". It matches the Rfam family "Bacterial small subunit ribosomal RNA", at positions 56 to 846 of the family's 1533-position model. The record is from RNAcentral. Lineage: Bacteria; Pseudomonadati; Pseudomonadota; Alphaproteobacteria; Rhodobacterales; Roseobacteraceae.